GGGCCCGCACAAGCGGUGGAGCAUGUGGUUUAAUUCGAUGAUACGCGAGGAACCUUACCAGGGCUUAAAUGCAGUUGGACAGGUCUGGAAACAGACCCUUCUUCGGACUAAUUGCAAGGUGCUGCAUGGUUGUCGUCAGCUCGUGCCGUGAGGUGUCAGGUUAAGUCCUAUAACGAGCGCAACCCCUGUGGUUAGUUGCCAGCGAGUCAUGUCGGGAACUCUAGCCAGACUGCCAGUGCAAACUGUGAGGAAGGUGGGGAUGACGUCAAAUCAUCACGGCCCUUACGUCCUGGGCCACACACGUGCUACAAUGGUAGGGACAGAGGGCAGCUACCCCGCGAGGGGAUGCGAAUCUUAAAGCUACCCUCAGUUCGGAUCGAAGUCUGAAACUCGACUUCGUGAAGUUGGAAUCGCUAGUAAAGG
RNAcentral lists this ribosomal RNA (423 nucleotides) under uncultured bacterium. RNAcentral's name for it is "bacterial SSU rRNA". It matches the Rfam family "Bacterial small subunit ribosomal RNA", at positions 917 to 1344 of the family's 1533-position model. The record is from RNAcentral.